This 555-nucleotide ribosomal RNA is filed under the name uncultured bacterium. RNAcentral describes it as "bacterial SSU rRNA". It matches the Rfam family "Bacterial small subunit ribosomal RNA", at positions 946 to 1491 of the family's 1533-position model. The record is from RNAcentral.
UUAAUUCGAAGCAACGCGCAGAACCUUACCAGGUCUUGACAUGUAGGGAAGCCCGGUGAAAGCCAGGUGUGCCCGCAAGGGAACCCUAACACAGGUGCUGCAUGGUCGUCGUCAGCUCGUGUCGUGAGAUGUUGGGUUAAGUCCCGCAACGAGCGCAACCCUUGUUGCUAGUUGCCAUCAGUCCGGCUGGGCACUCUAGCGAGACUGCCUACGAAAGUAGGAGGAAGGCGGGGAUGACGUCUGAUCCGCAUGGCCCUUACGACCUGGGCGACACACGUGCUACAAUGCCGCGCACAGAGCGACGCUACUUCGCAAGAAGACGCAAAUCGCAUAAAUCGCGGCUCAGUUCGGAUUGGGGUCUGCAACUCGACCCCAUGAAGCUGGAAUCGCUAGUAAUCGUGAAUCAGCCACGUCACGGUGAAUACGUUCCCGGGCCUUGUACACACCGCCCGUCAAGCCAUGGAAGUGGGUUUUGCCUGAAAUCGCCGGGAGCUUGUGCCCUUAUCGGCCCGGCAGGCGCUUAGGGUAAGGCUCAUGACUGGGGCUAAGUCGUAA